CGGGGGUGCGCGUCUUCCGGCCGACCCUCCUCCUGCUCCUGCUAUGUUGCUGACCCACGCUGCUGGCGCGAGUGGUCUUGCCCCUCGGGACCCGAGGAGGGAGGAGUUCUUCGUUCCCUUCAGCUUUCAGGCCCCAGGGAGAACCUUUCAGUCACAGGCAGCCUAGGUUCAAGAAGAAGAAAACCUGAGGCCUCGGCUCACCCUGACAGGGAAGUGGCGUGGGGACCGCUAAAGGACUGCGAGGUUCCACUGCCCAGGGCUGUCUAACCGCUUGCUUUAGACUGUGGGUGCACGGAGUCCGUCACUCAGCCUCCAGGACCAGGGCUCCUGAUGUGUGAGCGCGUUCCAUUCCCCCAUUCCCACAAGAACCCUCGCUCCCGCGAAGGCCUCCUGAGCUUGCGCGACUCCGCUGGGCCUUGGAGAGCUCUGGGGAGGGAGGCGCCUCUCCAGCACCCAGAUCCCCAGCCUGCAGCGCCUCGGGGCCAGUGUGGCCCGGAAUGGCAGGCUGGAGUGCAAUGGCGCGAUCUUGGCUCACUGCAACCUCUGCUUCCCAGGUUCAAGUCAUUCUCCUGCCUCAGCCUCCCGAGUAGCUGGGAUUACAGGCACCUGCCACCACGCCCAGGUAAUUUUUUGUAUUUUUAGUAGAGAUGGGGUUUCACCAUGUUGGCUAGGCUGGUUGCAAACUCCUGACCUCAGGUGAUCCACCCGCCUCGGCCUCUUAAAGUGCUGGAAUUACAGGUGUGAGCCACUGUGCCUGGCUGCAAAUUGUUUUUUUAAAUUGCUCAGUUAAACUCUGUUAAAUUGAAUUUGUCUAUAGUUUUUCUUUUAAGAGAUUGAAAGGUUGCAACAAAGUUUAGAGAGAUAUAGAGAAUAAACACAUGUCAGCGAAGAGAG
RNAcentral lists this long non-coding RNA (894 nucleotides) under Homo sapiens (human). RNAcentral describes it as "HSALNT0360697". The record is from RNAcentral. Lineage: Eukaryota; Metazoa; Chordata; Mammalia; Primates; Hominidae.